AUAAUAUGGUAGCGACAGUGCCGUAAAUAGCCUUUUUUGCGAGCUGUGCGAGCUUCUGUAACUGCGCCCUUGUUUUUUUUUAGAUAUUGUAGGUACCCA
Long non-coding RNA from Aricia agestis (brown argus), 99 nucleotides. RefSeq lists it as uncharacterized. The transcript is spliced from 3 exons. NCBI's taxonomy places the organism in Eukaryota, Metazoa, Arthropoda, Insecta, Lepidoptera, Lycaenidae. The record is from RefSeq and is a predicted model, not a curated record.